CUUCCAUGGAGUAGUGGUCGGCAGCAGCAUCACAGCAGCGGCCUCCCAUUAGGACUUCCUUCCUCUCGCUUAUGUUUGGUUUUCUCUUCUCUGGCCUCUGCAGGAACUCCUCAGAUCCUUGGAUUAAUGUGGGAACUUGGCCUGUGAACCCGAGCUAGAUGGGAGAAGCCUCCCCCCCGGUGGGGGAAGAGGGAAUGCCCCCCGGUGGGGAAGGAGGAAUGCCCG
This 225-nucleotide long non-coding RNA is filed under the name Phoenix dactylifera (date palm). RNAcentral's name for it is "long non-coding RNA (PDAC_LNC007349)". Lineage: Eukaryota; Viridiplantae; Streptophyta; Magnoliopsida; Arecales; Arecaceae. The record is from RNAcentral.